CCUACGGGCGGCAGCAGUGGGGAAUAUUGGGCAAUGGGCGCAAGCCUGACCCAGCAACGCCGCGUGAAGGAAGAAGGCUUUCGGGUUGUAAACCUCUUUUGUUAGGGACGAAGCAAGCGAAGGUACCUGACGAAUAAGCGUCGGCUAUCUAUGGGCCAGCAGCCGCGGUAAUACGGCGGCGGCAAGCGUCAUCCGGAUUUACUGGGUGUAAAGGGCGUGUAGGCGGGAAUGGAAGUCAGAUGUGAAAUUUAGGGGCCCAACCUGAAAACUGGAUUUGAAACUGUGGUUCUUGAGUACAGGGGAGGCAGGCGGAAUGCGUGGUGUAGCGGUGAAAUGCGUAGAUAUUAGGAAGAACACCGGUGGCGAAGGCGGUCUACUAGACAACAACUGACGCUGAGGCACGAAAGCGUGGGGAGCAAACAGGAUUAGAUACCCGAGUAGUC
RNAcentral lists this ribosomal RNA (443 nucleotides) under uncultured bacterium. RNAcentral describes it as "partial 16S ribosomal RNA". It matches the Rfam family "Bacterial small subunit ribosomal RNA", at positions 338 to 795 of the family's 1533-position model. The record is from RNAcentral.